GAUGAACGCUGGCGGCGUGCUUAACACAUGCAAGUCGAACGGGAAAUAUUUCAUUGAGACUUCGGUGGAUUUGAUUUAUUUCUAGUGGCGGACGGGUGAGUAACGCGUGGGUAACCUGCCUUAUACAGGGGGAUAACAGUCAGAAAUGGCUGCAAAAACCCAAAAGGGGAAAGGACCGGAUGGGCCCGGGGUAAAAAAUCCGGUGGGAUAAGAUGGACCCGCGUUGGAUUAGGUAGUUGGUGGGGUAACGGCCCACCAAGGCGACGAUCCAUAGCCGGCCUGAGAGGGUGAACGGCCACAUUGGGACUGAGACACGGCCCAGACUCCUACGGGAGGCAGCAGUGGGGAAUAUUGCACAAUGGGGGAAACCCUGAUGCAGCGACGCCGCGUGAAGGAAGAAGUAUCUCGGUAUGUAAACUUCUAUCAGCAGGGAAGAUAGUGACGGUACCUGACUAAGAAGCCCCGGCUAACUACGUG
Molecule: ribosomal RNA, 477 nt
Filed under: uncultured bacterium
Lineage: Bacteria
Description: partial 16S ribosomal RNA
Rfam family: Bacterial small subunit ribosomal RNA
Source: RNAcentral